UUAAUUUAUAGUAGUAAAAUAAUACACUGUCAUAAAUGUGACUUUUUUUACAUUCUUCUUCGCAUCCUGUACCACCCAUACAGUUUAAAUAUAAGGUAGAGUUCAUUAACAAGGAGGGUCAUUUGUCCCAAACUUUCCAUUGUGAAAGAACUGUAGCUCCACCUUAUUCCAACAUAAUCUAUAUUCUUUCUGCUCUGCUUCUAUUCACUUAGCUCACCGUUCUGAAUGUGGCAGGUUGGACUCUCCAGAGAACUGAUAUCCUCUGAUGAAGCAAGAGAAGAUCCAGUGAACUAGCUUCUGGAUUCAAUUCAAGGCAAACCAAAUAUGUGGCUGCUUCCAAUCUCACUGUGCUUGCUUUACUGGUCUGUAUUAGUUGAAGGAAACAGUUUGAAUCGAACCAUGGAUCCUGAAGCCAAACUGAAUUCAGUAAGUAAUCUCGAAACAUCUCCAAGGAAUUUCUCAGAACAGCCCAUGGCUCCUUUCCUUCCAUUGGAACAAUUUGCCUGCUGAAGCAAAGAUGGCUUCAACUCUCAAGGCCUUCCAAAGCCUCAUAAAGAAUUAGCUACGCUGGAAGGCCUUCAGAUACUGACAAUCUUGUCAGAACUGAACCUGGUUGGCUGUGUGGACCAACCGGCACAAUACGUCAAAAAAUGGGGUGUGAGGUCUUCAUGCUAAGCACAAUUGGGGGGCGGAGGGGGAAGGGGAAGGGAGCAAUGAAUGAAGACAUGGCCGCCUGAUUCAAUUGCGGAGUUGAACCAAUCUGUGCAUAACCAUUCUGUGUAAGGGAUGUCAUUAGAUCUCUCCUUGCUCUCCUUG
This is a long non-coding RNA of Candoia aspera, 816 nucleotides long. RefSeq lists it as uncharacterized. The transcript is spliced from 3 exons. The record is from RefSeq and is a predicted model, not a curated record. NCBI's taxonomy places the organism in Eukaryota, Metazoa, Chordata, Lepidosauria, Squamata, Candoiidae.